This is a long non-coding RNA of Maniola jurtina (meadow brown), 335 nucleotides long. RefSeq lists it as uncharacterized. The transcript is spliced from 3 exons. The record is from RefSeq and is a predicted model, not a curated record. Lineage: Eukaryota; Metazoa; Arthropoda; Insecta; Lepidoptera; Nymphalidae.
CAUGCAUCUAAGUUUAGUGCUAAUAGGAUUUUACGGCUCAACCCUGGCAGCUACCAUGAGUACUAAACAAUGUUAUUACAUAUAUCAAUUGCAACAUAUUGCACGCUGUAAAUCGUGAUUAGUUCACAGCGCAUCUGCGCAGAGCUAGUCUAUUCAGAAAACCUAAUUGCUCGAGAAAUGAGAAUGGACUCGGAUUGUAUGGUAACAAUGAAUGUUCGAACAAAGAUGACUGAAGCGUGGCAGUAGUAGAUACACUAUGCAACAUAUCGAACCUACAGAUACAGUUCAACGAACUAAACUCUUUAAUCAAAACCGGUUUUUUGCUGCCCAUCUAC